CAUUUAUAUGCUGGCAGAAUUUGGGUGUGGGUGGAGUGCUGGGCCUUCCAGCAGGGCCGGGACUCGGCCCACCCCCAUCUGGAGAAGGCUCUAGAGAUCUGGGCCCGAAGACCAGGUCUGCUUGGAUCAGUUCAGCUGUGACAUCUCUGCAAACGGUUUAUUUUAGAUCUUGCAGUCUUCGUUUCUAGAAUUUCCAUUUGAGUCAGGUUAUUUUAUCCUCAUUUUUCUGCUGAAAUAUCUAUAUCUGUUCACUCAUGACUUAUUUCCCUUCUUAAUCCCAGAACUACUUAUGAUAACUCUGUAGAAGUUUCUACAAACUCAUUCUAAUGUUGUAGUUUGGAGGGGACCAGUUUGUAUUGAUUUACAAUAAAUUAUUAUAGGUCUACUGUAUUGUCUAUUGGGAACAAUGGAUGAGACAUUGUAGGGAGAACUUUAUGUUUUCUUCCUUUAAAGAGUAUUGAGUUUUGUCCUGGUAGAUAUUAAGCUUCUUUUGUCCUGGUAGAUAUCUCUAUGGAUCAUCUUGGUGCUGGCAGGCUAAUUUUUUCUUGGCUCUAUUUGUUUUCCCCUUGGGUCUUGUAUGCUGAGUAUGGCAGUUACUCUAAGGCAUGAUUGUUACUCCUAAGGCAUUGUCUUUUUGAGUUCAUUCCCAAAUGCUUGAAGUAUUUGCUGAGGCCUCUCUCCCUUUGGUGGGACUGGGACUCUCUCUCUCUUUGAGACCCCCAAUGGCCUGUAGUAACUUUACCUCUCACCCUACAGCGGUCACUCUCCAGGCUUCUGGAGUUUUGUUAUAACAGCCUUAUCCUCACUCACUCAAAUGCCUGGGGUGAAGCCUUGUAGACAUCAGUCUCCUGCGAGCACAACCCUCCUCUCUUUGCUGCUCCAUUAUUUGCUAGACCCACCAGAACAAAGAACCACAGAGUUGCUUAAACAACAGGAAUUUGUUCCUCACAGCUUAGGAGGAUCAAAGGAGGAGAACAAAGUGUCCAAAGUCAUAUCCUCAUAAGGACACAGGUCAGAUUUGGUUUGGCACCUACCCUGAUGGGCUCUUAUUAACUUAAUCCCCUCUUUAUCUCCAAUGAUAUCACAUUCUGACUUACUGCGUCAAGUGUACAACGCAAGUGUAAUCUGGAGAGAAUGAAACCACACAACUCAACCUUUGACAACUAACUCUCCAGCUCCUCAGAUACUAGCCACCUUGGCAUCCCUGAGCUCUGAUCUCAGCCAUCUGGAAAAAUACCUCAGUAGAAAUCCCAGACCACUGUGGGUUUUACUUCCUGUUUAUACUUUUCUCGGUAGUUCCCGCCCUGUGCCAUGUGUUCCUGUAUGUCCCUCUCUCAAUGGUUCCCACCCUGUGCCGUGUGUUCCUAUGUGUCCUUCUCUCAAUGGUUCCCACCCUGUGCCGUGUGUUCCUAUAUGUCCUUCUCUCAAUGGUUUCCACUCUUUGUCACUUGUUCCUGUAUGUCCUCUUCUCAAUGGUGCCCAUCCUAUGCUGCAUGCUACCCAUAGUAUGAAGGCUGUGGUUUCUUCUGUUUGUUCAUGUCCCAACCUCAGACUCUUUCCAGCCUGAGAAUGAAAAGGCAGCACCUGCCUCUUACCUUUUCCACACAAGCCCAGUGCUCAGCUGUGCCCAUGAUGCCAGGAAACAUCCCCCCACACUCCUGUUCGAGUGCAGCUUUCCUCUCCUGAGUGCCCCUCACUCUGUUCUUAGCAAAUGACUGGGUGGUGGCCUGACUUCUUCAACCAUCAGCUCCUGCAAUCCCCUGCUCGUCUGGCUCCUGCAGACUCCAGAGGGAUUGGUGGUCUACAGCCUGCCCUUUGCUCCUUUCUCUGCCUUUUUCUCUCUGAGCUGUACACGUUGCCCCAGCAAGAAGAAAAUCAAACUUCUUCAGGAGGACUGAGAGACAAAGAGAGGCGAGGCAGAAAUGGAAGACAGUGAAGGAUCAAAGAGAGAGAGAGAGAGAUAGAAGCCUCAGUGCAGGAUCUGCAUGCGGGAGACCCAGCUCCCAUUCCUGUCACCCCCUGAUCCAUUGAACACCACUGGGAGCACUGAGCAAUAGUUCUUGAGCACCUCUAGGUUUGACCCCCCCACCCCCCCCACACACAACCAAUCGACCAAAUUAGAGAGAGAGGUCAAGAGGAGGUAGCUUGGAGAAAAGGAGAGAAAGUGGAGGUGGGCAGAGCAAGCUUUCCCUGGGAGUCUCAAGAUGGUUGUGACCCCAAGUCUGGAAAUGUCAUUUGCAGUCAGAAUCAUGACCCCUUCUUCCCCCAUUCUCCCCUGGGGGUGUUGGGAAGCAGGAGCUGGACACAUGAUGAAGGUGGGGGAUGCCUGGACAGGGGGUGAAGGGAGUCAGGGUAACUUUCUGGAGUCUGGUACUCCGUCAUCCAUCGGGGGCCUUGAUGAGUUAGAAACCCCAGAACAGGAAGCCACGUGGAUAUCUUUGCAGCCUGGGAUGAGGUCACAGUGUGACGGGCAUGGCUGGAGCAUGAGCAGAAAGUGGCCGUGAAAGGUGACCAUCCCCCUGCAGACCCAGGUGCCCUCUGACCCCCCAAACCCUCUGCCUCUGUUUCUAGGGCCUAGCCUCCCUUCAGACCAUCUCCUCAGCCCGCCUUAUGGGUGAAGCAGCUCUCAGCUCUGGGCUGUGCUCUGCCCACGGGGCUGUGCCCCACAUCAUGCCCACAGGCCUCUCUGGGCUCUUAACAGAGCACAGACCUCUGAUUAUGCUAGGGCGCAACAAGCCAACUUCCACCAUAACCCUGAAACAUUUUUUUUUUUUUGCUUUGAGGGUAACACCCAGCAAUGCUCAGAGGUUACCCUGGCUCUGCACUUAGAAAUUAUCCCUGACAAUGCUUGAGGGAUCAUAUGGUAUGGAGAGGAUUGAACCCCAGUCGGCUGCUUGCAAGGGGUUCCGCAAUGGGACUGGGGAUCACUGAUGCCAUGGAACAAAGGAUAGCGCUAAGCUUCACACACACCCAGCCCCACAGCAAGCACUGAGGCCUCGAGAAAACCCCAGGGCUAGACCUUCCGAACCCCAAUCUCAACGGGAGACUAUGAUGCUCCACGGUCAAAGAGGACACAGGAAGAUUGAGCAGUUUCAAGCAGCCCCGUGAUAGGCACUCGUCAUGGUUCUGACUCUCUCACCUGCACCGGCCAUGGACCAGAUCCAAUCACAGAUGGAUGACAAGAAGCAAGCACCAGGCUCUCCAGAAAGUUCACUGAGGAGUGUCAGGUAGAGAGCCCCAGAGACCAACGGUGCUUACAACGUUAUCUCAAAGUUUUUAUAGGUUUUUUGUUUGUUUGUUUGUUUACUUGGGGGGCCACACCUGGCGAUAUUUACGAGUUACUCUUGGCUCUACACUCAGGGAUUACUCCUGGUGGUGCAUAGGGGACCAUACAGAGUGCCAAGGAUCUAAGCAGGGUCAGCCUCAUGCAAGGCAAAUGCCCUACCUGCUGUAGUAUCACUCCGGCUCCUCAAAGUUUUUACAAAGAAUAGAUUAUGGCCCCCCAGUGAUUCACUGACCAUUGACUUCAGCUAGAUGCUGUGAGACUGGACCCCUUUUCUUCCCCUGGAUCGCAGCCCUUUACUGUUUAACUUACUUUCCCAGCCAGUCUUACAUAAAACUCUAGCUCAAGGGUAAAAGUGACUGUGGUUAGGCCAAGUUCGCUGAUUUCUAAUAUUUCUAGCACCUGAAUAAAGUUUUUACCAUCCUACCAUCAAUUUUUAUCUUUCUUAAUAAAUAAAUAAAUAAGAAACCAUCCUCAGUGGCACUUACGGAACACCAGGGCUACACCUGGCAUUUGUUCUCAGGGUCCAUGUAGUGCCAGUGGUAGAACUCAGGGCCAUGACACUCUAAGCUUGUGUUACACUAAGCUCUACCAUUUGAGCUAUCUCCUCAACAACCCUAAUUGACUCUUAUCUCCCAAGUUUUGGCCUCCAAAUUGCAGAAAGCUAGCAAUUGCACCUUAGAUUUACUAACAACCUUUGGCAAGCCAGCCAGGAGUGAUUGUGAGUCCCCAGAGAGUAACUUAGCUCUCCUGGUUCCCAAAGGCAGGAGACUUUGGCCACAGUAGCACCAGGGUAUAUCUGACUGUGAAAAGCAACUGCAUCUGGCAUGCGCUCACAGCUGCUGCCAAGACCUGUUUGUCUAGGGGACUUUCUCUUCCCUCUUCACAGCACCAGCUGCCCUGUGCAUGCUGUUGUCGGCGGAAAACUGUUUCACUUGGAAAAGAGUCAAUCAUCUCCAAGACUGGUUAGGUCUCAACACACACAACCCAAAAUUCUCUGUCCUCGCCCUUUGGGUUCUUUGUCCUUUGGAACUCUCGGGUCAUUUGCAGAAUCAGGAGAGGGGGGCACAGGAUUUUAAAAUCACUGUAGCAAGGGCUUGAAUUUACUCUGCUGUGUUUGGGAUCUGGUUUUGCUCUGUGCUUCUUUUGCUACAGCUGUAAGGAAGUACCGGACCAUCUAAACAACCACUGGUUGACGUUGGCAAGAUGUAAGCAUGAAAUAACCAUUAACGGUAUUGCAAACCACUGUGUAGAUUAAAAAUAUCACACAAUAAAAAAAUCACCUAGCUUAUUAGACCACACACACUUACAAAUGUUUGAAAAGAAUUUCCUAUUGCAGUGGGGGAAGUCUGUGAACUGGUCAUCUGCAAGUCCUAGGAGUCCCUCCCAUUGGAAAAUUACCCACAUUCCACUCACUGGAUCGAUGGGAACUGGGAGAUUCCGUCAGUUGCCUGAGUAGGUGAAGGAGGCGAUUACUAUGAUGAAAAUCAGAUCUGCUUGUGUAUGUGUUUGUAAUGUCUCUCUUUUACAUUUUGUUUCUGGGUGAAAUUAUUAGAAUAACUGACCAAAACUCUUUAAAAUCUGGAAGAGCUUUUGGAAAAUAAAUACUGACGUGAAAAUAAAGGAUUUAGGGGCUGGAGAGAUAAUACAAUGGGUAGGGUACUUGCCUUACAUGCAACCUAUAUGGGUUUGAUUACCAGCACUUCAUAUGGUCCCCUAAGCCUUGCCAGGAGUGAUUCCUGAGCAUAGAGCCAGAGGUAAGCCCUGAGUACUGCCAGAUACAGUUUCCUCAACCUACCAAUAAAAUACAAAAAAUAAGAUCCUAUACUUUUUCUGGAGCGAUAGCACAGCAGGUAGGGUGUUUGCCUUGCAUGCAGCCAACCCGGGUUCGAUUUCUCCAUCGCUCUUGGAGAGCCCAGCAAGCUACCGAGAAUAUCCCGCCUGCACGGCAGAGCCUGACAAGCUACCCGUGGUGUAUUAGAUAUGCCAAAAACAGUAACAACAAGUCUCACAAUGGAGUCAUUACUGGUGCCUGCUCAAGCAAAUCGAUGAACAAUGGGAUGACAGUGCUACAUUUUCUAAAUUAUACUUUUAUUCCAUCAUAUUUUUAUGGUUAUUGGUCAAAAUUCUCUCUUGUUGUCUAACAGAAGUAACUGAUUUGUUUUGACUAAUUCUAUCAUAGAGAACCAUUAAAUACUUGAACAAUUUUUCUAAAACAUUGGUUACUUAGUUUGGUUUUAUUUUUUGAAAACAGGAAUUUAGAUUUAUGAGUAAAAUAUUACUAUGCCACAUAGAAAAUUACACUAUAAGAAAAUACAAGGCUGGAGCGAUAGCACAGCGGGUAGGGCGUUUGCCUUGCCUGAGACUGACCCAGGUUCGAUUCCCAGCAUCCCAUAUGGUCCCCCAAGUACUGCCAGGAGUAAUUCCUGAGUACAUGAGUCAGGAGUAACCCCUGUGCAUUACCUAGUGUGACCCAAAAAGGAAAAAAAAAGAAAAUACAUAGUUAGGACUGAAGACUGAAGACGUUUCAAUGGGCUGGAACAUAUAUUGUGCAUGAAGGAAGCCAGGGCUUAAUCUCGGCAUCACAUAGCCCCCAAGCCCCACCAAGAGUGAUCCCUGAGUACUGAUCCAGAAGUAUCCCUUGAGUACUGCUAAACAAAUAAACUAACAACAGAAAUGAAUAAAACACAUGUUCAGAUUACUUUGGGGGAAAUUUAACAACUUUUUAACAAAUGACAUUGUUCAGAUUACAACUUUAAAAUUAAAAAUUACCUUAAAGGGAUAUGUAGUCUAAGAAAUCUAUGAAAUUAUAACCAACAAGAUGAGGAGAAUCAUCCUAAACAUCCUAAAAAUAGUAAAUGCAUAUUUUAAGUAAUUAUGUAAAGAAUGAAGUUGGGUUUUCUUUUUUAGAGAAAAUAAGAAAUUCUGUCUUAAAGUAAAACAGACUAUGAAUAGAAUUAAGGAGAAUUAUAGGACCAGAUGAAAAUGUGAAACAAACUGGAAAAUCAAAGGCCUAAGGAAAGAUAAAAUCUUUUCUUGAUUAAAUAAAUAGAGAACGUUUUAGAAGAACUCCUGGGACCGGAACGAUAGCACAGCGGGUAGGGCGUUUGCCUUGCACGCGGCCGACCCGGGUUCGAUCCCCGGCAUCCCAUAUGGUCCCCCAAGCACCGCCAGGAGUAGUUCCUGAGUGCAAAGCCAGGAGUAACCCCUGAGCAUCGCUGGGUGUGACCCAAAAAGCAAAAAAAAAAAUAGAAGAACUCCUAAAAUACCCCAAAAUAAUUAUUCUCUCUUCAUGAAAAAGAGAUCCCUAUGGAAUGGGCCUAUUUGAUAAUUAAAAUUUUAUGAGACGCAUUGUCACAAAGAAGAAAUGUUAACCUUCUUAACAUAUAUGUAAAUAUAAUGGGUAUUCAAGAAUUAUGCAGAACUGACCCACAUUCCGCAGCUUCUGCCAUGGAAAUGGCCCAGCUUCACUCCUUCAUAAUUAGUCUUGACAGAGCUGCCAACCCAAUGAAAUUCACAGAUACACCCAUCUCUUGGCUGAAAAAUCUGGGGCAUCCCCAGGAAUUGUCCCAGUUUCAGAUCAUUACAGAGCCAGGAGCUCCUGGAAUGCGCGGCCACAUAUGCAGCCGUGCAACACCUCCAAAUUCCACAGAACUGACAGCCCAGUAGGAGCACAGCAAAUUAGAUAGAAAAGUAGCGUAGACACCCACUAAGCUCAAUAAAUGAAACAAUAACACAGAAGGCUCAGCUAGCACUAAACAGCUCAGUAAAUCCUCAGGCCAUUACUUGAAUACCACCACUGUGAAAUACAGCAAUUUCACAAAGUUUCUUUUGCGGAAAUAUAUACAUAUAUAUUUUUGCUAUUUCCAUUUUGUUGCCACAAGCAAGAUAAAGUAUAUUACUUUGCUAAGGGAGCAGUUAUGCAGAAGUGAGUGGAAAUCUGGGGAUAAUGGUGGAGGGAAGAUUACACUCGUGGUGGGAUUGGUGCUGGAGUGCUGAAUGCCCAAAGCAGCUGCAUUACGAACAUCUUUGUAAAACCACGGUGUUUAAAUAAAGUUAGGGAAAAAAUACACGAAACUUCAUGAAUCUAGUAGGUUCUCUUCAAUUCUGGGUAUUAUGCUGGAAUGUUAUGUGCUGUGGUGCGAGUCACUUGACGAGAAUUUUGAUUAUGGUUAUUUGGUAUUGCUUGCAUUUUUCAGAUAUUGCUUUCUCUAUUUUUUGUGUGUUGAGAAGAAUUCACAUGAGAGGACUUAGACAAAUAUUCUAGAAUACAGAUAUGUCGUGGGAUGAAAUAAGAAUGAGAAGUUACAGAAAUGGAACAAUGUGCUCCUAAAAAUUGCUAACUGAAGAUUUAGAGUUUCUCCCUGGGAAUGAACAAAUUGGUGAGGAGAAGUAUAAUUUCUAACGAUUGUUUUGGGGAGGCCACACCCCGCAGUGCUCAGGACUUACUUCUGGUUCUGCAUUCAGGGAUCACUCCUGGUGGGCUUGGGGUCCAUAUCAGAUGCCCAGGAUCAGGCCUGGGUCUGCUGAGUGCAAGACAAGCACUGUACUAUCUCUCCAGCCCAAUUUUUUUCAAUUUAUAACAAUGUUUUUCUUCUCAUGUUUAAAACAUGUUUUUCCUUUUUGAACUGAUGCGACCUAUAGCAACCUAGUACACUGCACCAUUUUUCUAAAUAAAAGUGAAAUAUUUGCUUUUCUCUCUCCCUGACACCAUCAGAAUGAGAAACUUUAAGUAUUCUUAUUUAUCAAAGAAAUAUAUUUGGCAUCAAUUCAGAAGAAAUUAUUUUUUAUCUUUUAAUAAAUAAUUUAGACGCUGACUAUAUUAUCAAGACUCUGACUGUAAAGCCAGGGGCCAUACUGCUUCAACAAUUAAAUUCACUGUUGAGACAAAGAAGAGAAAACAGCCUAAUGCCUUGCUUAGGGGGCUCCAGUCUACUUAAGAGGGUGAUCAAGAGAGCCUCUUGGCUGACCCCAAACUCCAGCUCAUUUGAAUGACCUUGAAAAGAGAGUCCCAGAUGGUCAGGUAAAGUCAGAGGUUGAUUCCUGAGAACUCAAGCUGAGAUUCCUUAUAAAGGUUCCAGUAAAGCAGAUUAAAAGAAUUUAUAUGAUUAUUCCCAAUCUAAUGGUGUGUAUUCAAAAUAACAGGUCGUGAUGAUUAGAACUGAUUUGAAAAGAAAUCAAUUUUCCUAUAGUUAGUUGGUAGAAUUGGGAUGAAAAUGAAAAGCAUGGUUCAAUGACAUAUCUUUUUGCAGACAAAAGAUUGUGGUCCUCAAAAUUAUUUUUUUAAAGGCACAGCGGGUAGGGCGUUUGCCUUGCAUGUGGCUGGCCCAGGAUCGAUUCCUUCGUCCCUCUCGGAGAGCCUGGCAAGCUACCGAGAGUAUCCUGUCCGCACAGCAGAGCCUGGCAAGCUAUCCGUGGCGUAUUCAAUAUAUAAAAAAUAGUAACAACAAGUCCCAUAAUGAAGAUGUUACUGGUGCCCGCUCGAGCAAAUCGAUGAACAACGGGAUGACAGUGCUACAGUGCUACAUACUAUUUUUAAACCUGUGAACUGGAAUGCAUCCUGAAUUUUUCUAAUAUCUGGCCACAACUCUCCAAACUGGAGGUCCUAACUUGUCUUUCUGACUUACACUGAAAACUAAGAUUGAACUUCUUCCAAGACUCGUUAAGGUGGAGAUGAAGAACAUGAUAGAUAUUUUGAAGAAAUAAGCACAAUAAUGUGCCUGGACAAAAUUCCACAGAUUUAUGAAAAUAAACAACUGAGGGAUUGAGAUGGGCACAGAGGAAGCUAAGAGAUGAACUUGCCAGAGCACAGAGCCAAGAGUAGCUCCCAGGCUCUACCAGGUGUGGUCCAAGUAAAUGAAUUAAUUCAUUUUGAAAAGAUGGGUGAGAGGCAGUACAGCAGGGAGGGCACUUGUUUUGCAUGAGUCCAACUGGAGUUCCAUCCCCGGCAUCCCAUAUGGUCCCCGAACCCCUCCAAGAGUGAUCCCUGAGCAUAGUUGGUGUAGCCCCCAAACAGACAAACGAACAAACAAACAGAGAUGAACCUGACAACACAUUCCUUUGUGAACAGGCCAUAAAGUAAGUGCUGUACCCUUGUACCCUUGGGUACCCUUGGGUACAGCAAACACCAGACAUUUCAGUGAAUGGGCCUGGCGUACCCCCUGUUUUUCAGAGUAUUAGCUGGAACCCAAUGUUAUAUAUUGGAAGAAAUAUUAAAGUAGACCACUUUAGAGAUGAUCCUAACUUUCCUAGAUUUCUGAUUAAUGUUGACCUAUACUCCUUGCACAGAUAAAGACUUAGGGGAGAUUUAGAAUUUUUUUU
Molecule: long non-coding RNA, 9604 nt
Organism: Sorex araneus (European shrew)
Lineage: Eukaryota; Metazoa; Chordata; Mammalia; Eulipotyphla; Soricidae
Exons: 3
Source: RefSeq, a predicted model, not a curated record